Molecule: ribosomal RNA, 335 nt
Filed under: Stutzerimonas stutzeri
Lineage: Bacteria; Pseudomonadati; Pseudomonadota; Gammaproteobacteria; Pseudomonadales; Pseudomonadaceae
Description: bacterial SSU rRNA
Rfam family: Bacterial small subunit ribosomal RNA
Source: RNAcentral
GAACUGAAGAGUUUGAUCAUGGCUCAGAUUGAACGCUGGCGGCAGGCCUAACACAUGCAAGUCGAGCGGAUGAAGAGAGCUUGCUCUCUGAUUCAGCGGCGGACGGGUGAGUAAUGCCUAGGAAUCUGCCUGAUAGUGGGGGACAACGUUUCGAAAGGAACGCUAAUACCGCAUACGUCCUACGGGAGAAAGCAGGGGACCUUCGGGCCUUGCGCUAUCAGAUGAGCCUAGGUCGGAUUAGCUAGUUGGUGAGGUAAUGGCUCACCAAGGCGACGAUCCGUAACUGGUCUGAGAGGAUGAUCAGUCACACUGGAACUGAGACACGGUCCAGACUC